AAGGAAGGAAGGAAGGAAGGAAGGAAGGAAGGAAGGAAGGAAGGAAGGAAAGAAGGAAGGAAGGAAGGAAGCUUUGACAUAACUCUUUCUGAGAGGAAUGUCUUGCCUUUCUCUGGGCCCUAGGAUACAAAGUUCCCAUCCUACAUUUUCCAUCUUUAAGCCUGCCAAAAUUAAAUUGUUUAAGAAUACCAUACAGAUUUAAGGAAAAACUACAUCCCCAAAUUUUCAAGGAAUCCAAAGACCUAUUCAUCUCCAAUCAACAUUUCUUAGGAUCAUCAAAGUACACCAUUUCGUUUUUCAUUUUCCAGAUUAUUUUCUGUGAACCAUCUCAUUUUAUCUUCUCAUUAUUCCUUUGAGGGAUGUAAUACUUGACACAUAUAUAGGACUUUCUAAAUCACAAAGUAUUUCAUAUACAAUAUCUUCUUUAGAUCUUGAAAAUCACUUUUUAAGAUACUUUGGGAAGUUAUUGGCAUCCCCAUUUUACUGAAGAGGAAGCUGAAAUACACAGAGUUUGUCUCUUGCCCAAGAUUCUGCCCAUGUUUUCAGGAGGCAAAAGAACCAGGAUUAAGAAAAUGGCUCUGCUAGUAGACAUCCAGGUGAGAAUCCUAGCUCUGCCACUGAUUAGCUCUGUGUCUGUAGGUAAAUUAUUUAAAAUCUUCAUGCCUCAGUUUCCUCAUCUAUUAAAUUGGAAUAAUAAUGGUACUUUCAUCACAGAAACUGGAUGGGGGAAGGGACUAAAUGAGUUAAUGCAUUUAGAUGCUUAGAAGAACUUCUAGCACACAAAGCAUCUUAAUUGUUUGUCAUCAUUGGCAAAACCAAGACUAGAACUUGGGUCUUCCAACUUUUAGCUCAGUGAUGUUUCUGCUGCCCUACACCAAUAUUAUCCUUAUUAUACAGAAGAAAACCUAAAGCUGACAACGUUUAAGUGCAAAUCUCAUCCAGAGCCUCUCUUAAACAGAGAGGUCUAGAACUAAUGUCUCCUGGACUCUGUUUAGUCCUUCCACCAUUAAACCACGCUGCCCUCCACUGCUCUUAAGUUUUUAAAAGUUAUAAACCAACCACUCUCAUGCAAUACUACUGACAGCCUGAAGGCAGACUCUCCCACUCCUCUGGGGAAAGGAUCUUCUACCUUCAGUCUUAAGAGAUCAAAGGGUUUCGGAAUGCUCACUACAAUGGGAGCAUGCUCACUACUACCUCUAGGCCUUUUCUGGGAUAGUCUCUCUUCUUUCCCUUCCAACUGUAGUUAUCCUCAGCACCAGAUGAUUCAAUAUUUGACCAUUUUUGGCUUUCUGAGAACAAGUGUUGUUUUUUCAUAUUUUCAUUAUAUACUCCUUGAGAGUGCAGACUAUGUUGCAUGCAGGCUUGUAUUCUCUGUUGCACAUGGCAAAAUGCUCAGUCAAUAGCAGGUACAUAAACAGAUCUUGAUUCGUGAAUUGAUUGUUUGAUGGACUGAUAGUGUACCCUUCCAGUGGUUGGCAAUUGUCCUAACCUCUUUGUUGCAAAUUGAGGAUGAUCAGAGAAUUGCCUGGAUGGCGUUUAAUACCACAGUGACUGAGCAAGGGUUUUCUGUGGAGGGAGGAGCAGGGGCUGGGGAGGGGAGAGAGUUCCCCUUUGCUCUCACCUGGGCUGGCUUCCACAAAGCCUCAGAACCAGGCCCAUGCCACUGUCUGACUGCACAUUUUGUAUAUGGAAGACACAGACCUGAACCAGGGCUUGCCCUCUUGUCCACAGUCUGGACCCCUCAUAGCACACCCAGACCAGACGUGACCUUGCUCUACGGCUAAAAACAAGUGAAAGUCAUCUGCCAGGGUCACUUGGCACCAAAGUCCUGUGACAGAAGGGGCUCCACUUAAAGGGCAGUACAAAUCCAGGGCAUUAAAAUAACCUGAAUGGUGUCAUUUUCUGAUCAAAUGCCUUUCCCUGUCGGGUUUGUGAUUUUUGAGCCUGAGAAUGUCCCCUCAAGGCUCAGGUUUCUCUGCUGUCACACUGGUCUCAGGCCUGGAAUGUGAGUACUGGCCGUGGAGGUCUGAUGUAGCUAUGUCACAAUCCCAAAAUGGAGAGACAUUAUCUCAUAGACAGUGGCAGCAAGCAGGCACCAGUUUGCUGCUGGCAGGCAUGGUCAGAAUCUGGCCCCGUGAGUAUUUCUCACCCACGGUUCUCAGUGGACACACAAUUUGAGGUCCAAGAUGCCAAUCUAUGCACUAGUAAAUUAGGGUCUUGCAAAGCUUCUCAUCCAGGAGUAAACCCAGGAAAACAUAAGCUGAGGUACAGAGAGGCUCAUUUUUGUUAUAAGUCCUGUUGGUUUGUAGGAGGGUGAUCCCUGGUGGAGAGGCCCUGGAGUACCUGAAAGGCUUGGUCAGAAUGCAGAGAGCAGCAAUUCGCUAGGUGAAAGGGUACUCAAGGCAGGGCUAAGCUGCCAUCCUUACUUUCCUGGGCCUGCGAGGGCAGGAUUGCUGACCACAGGGCAGGUGGGGCCUGGUGGCCUAUGAGGUAACCAUCCCUUUCAGCACUUGGAGAGGAUGAGGCCCCAAGGGGAAACCAUUUCCCCUCUCAUAGAGUAAUAAAGGCCAUCAGAGUCAUAACUACUUUGAUAGUGAACUAGCUUUAGGGAUGAAGAGAAACACCUUCCUACCCAGCCUUAGAAAGGGGGGGUCCUUUUCCCAUUGGUAGCCUGUUCACCCACUUACUUCCUAUGGCUCUGCGCUGCGACUUUUGUUACAACCAAGCCAUUUUCCAAACAAGCCCUGCAUGCUCCUGCCUCCUCCUGUCGCUCAUUCCUUCCUGCACUAAAGAGUCUUCCUCUUCUUAGUCCACCUUUUCUUCCAGGUGCACACUUGAUUGAUUCCUCCUGCUUAGUGAGGCGUAUGAGUGCUGCAGCCUCCAGUCUCUGGGGCUCCUUCAGAACCAGUGUCUAUUCCUUUCACGUGACCCUUGGCACACACCAGCUUCCCAGUCCCUUACCAUCAUGCAUGAGGGUUAGAGCAUGUUUGUUGGAAGGCCCUUCAGCACAGAGGCUGUGUUUUAUCUCUCAGAAUUUCCCAUGCCUAGCAGAGGGCUCACAGCAUUGACUCUGAAGAAUGUAUGACCUCUCCAAUGGCUUCCCAUCACACUUAGCAACAAAACCUAAGAUAGAAGCCAGCAAUAUAGCCUCAUGUCCUAAUUUCCCCAUUUCUUUACCUUCCUCCAACACACUGGGCAUGCUAGCAUCAGGCCUUUGCACUUGCUCUCCCUUCUGCCUGGCAUACUUUCCCUGGACCUCCAGGUGGCCACCUCUCUCACUCCAUUGUCUCUGUCCAAAGGCCACUUUCUCAGAGAGGACUUUCCUGGCCACCAUGUCUAAAAGAUAGCACUCCUCAUCCCAUAUGCCUUGUCUGGCCUUAUUCUUCAUCACAGCACCUAAUUACUGACUGACAUAAUAUUAGUAUAGUAUAGUAUAGAAUAGUACAUUACACUAUGUAUUUUUUUUUUAUUGUAUGGUCCCCAUAAGAAUGCAAGUUCCAUGAGGGCCAAGACCUGACUUUAUUCACAGCUUGUUCUCAGUACCUACGGUGGUAUCAGGAAUAUUGUAGGUAUUCAAUACUUGUUGACCAAAUGGAUGGGAAAAUGAAUGAGCAAACAUUUCCCUGAGAAGUGGGGACCAUUCUGGACAAUGAUGUGACAUGCGGUCUGUUGUGGGAUAACAUAAGGCUUCCUUUCAAAGAACCAAAAAGCAUCAGAACUAUAAAGGUACUUCAAAGGAGGUCAACUCUCAACUGUACAGAGUAAGAAACUGAGUCCCAGGGAGGGAAACAUAAAUGGCAUAAGCACUGGAAAAGUUAAAAUCUUUGACUUCUAAUUGUUAACUCUUCCUAGAAUGUGGCCUGAUGUGACAACUCUUCUGAACGAAUUCUGAGUUACCAAUUUUCUACUGGUUUUGCACUUGAAUAAUUUUUAUAGAAUCAAAACAGUCAAGAGAAUAAGACCAGUCGCAUAAAAGUUUACCUCUUCAUGCUUCUGAGUGUUUUUAGAGGCAUUACUGCAAAGGAAGCAUCAACACUGAUUUUGUCCAGUGUCCCUUCUGCAGUAGCCCAGUAGCCCAGUAGCCCAGAUCUGGACAAAUAUUGAAUGCUGUACAUUGUUGCUUUAUUCUUCCCAACCUUUGUGUGUUAGGCAGGACACUGCAGGACAUCUUCUUUUGGAAUAAAGAAGAAAUCUAAGCAUUUGCCCAAAGCUAAGCUGCAGCUGAGUUCCAGGUCUUCAUCUGGCCUUCUCCUUCAGGCACCUGAGUAAUGCUGGUUGGUUCUAGGUCAUUGAAAAUGGACUGGAACUACUCAUUGCCACUGGUGGGUGGUUCAGCUGACCAUGAGUGUCAGUAUUCAUCAGACCACAGCCAUUCUAGGUUUUCCUUUUCCUUUUUCUUUUCCAAUUCCCCGGAGGGUUCUAAGAAAAUCCCAUCCAGAUCUCCUCUCCCAGGUGGCCCUCAGGGGUGGCUGCCACCUUGCUCUUCUUGUAAGAUUAUGUUUGACAGCAAUGAAAACCAACAGUUCAACAGCAAUAAUCUCUUGGCAGGACAGAUUGGCAUGAGACUUAUCCCAAAACAAAAUAAGCCUUUCAAGGAAGUGUAUUUCAAGUUGGGCUCAUGUUCCCAAGACACUGAGAUUCUUACAUGGCUGACACAGGAGCUGAAGCUGAGCCCCAGCCAGGGCCGUCAAUGAUUGUCAAUAACACGACAGAACAGAGAGAAGACUCAGGGGCUGAGUAUGUUCCUGAACAGUUCAAACAGGGGUAACUGGAAAUGCUGCGGAACUCGUUCUCAGAAAAAGCUUUUUGCACUCUGGCCAGAUUUUCUUAAAUGGCCUUGUUAGUGAUUUCAGUCUUGGAGGAGGGUGUGUGGGUCAGAGUAGCAUCCACUUGCCUUCCUUCCACUUCUUUUCACUACCCAUUCCUUCCCAUCAUUCUCCACAAUUCUUUCCAUGCCACCUACCACCAUUUUCACUGCUGUAUGUGCCACUUAGAGGAGCUCUCUAGACAUUGUGCCACUUAGAGGAGCUCUCUAGACAUUAUGCCACAAGGGAGCCUGUCAUGUCACCUAUGAAUGGCAACUUAUAUGCCUCUGGUUGUCUGCAUCCUAAGUUGUUAUAAGCCUUCCUCUCUAGGCUUGGUUACAAUGCACAAGCUCACAGAAUAAUUCAAACAUCAAAGGUGGAAGUAACCUGGGGAUAACCAGCGUGACCUGGGGAUAACCAAGUUGCUUUUGCGCUGCAUCCUCUCAAAGCCCACAAGAGGACGCCCAAGACCUCUCAAGUCCAGUUACAAGUGGCAGUGAGGCCAGGAGGUGGCGCUGUUGCCUUAACCAUCAAGAAGGAAGCGGUUCCGGUUUAGUCGGGGCUGUGAAUGUACUGGUUGGGGGACACAUAGCACCCCUGCCGACUGCGAGUAAUCCCUACGUGGGAUGCUUAGGCUGUCCCAGCCAAACAUUGCUACCCGACCCUGAGAGGUAAGGCCAAGCUCUAGCCAGCCUGAUUCAAUGGAAAAACUAGGUGAGAAACCAGAAUUCAUGGGUUCUAGUUCCAGCUGCCAUGCUAUUUUGCUGGGAGGGCUUGAAGGAAAUCACUUACUCUUUUUGCCCCAAAGGCUUCCUCGACGUUCCAUGUGUUCUAACAACAUAACUUAAGAUUCAGGAGUGCCAAGUGGGCAUAGAAUUCAGGAAUAAGAAAGACAAAGCUCAUGUCCUGAACAAAUUCAUUGUCCGCGGGUUGGGGAAGGGUAUAGGGAAGGACACAUAAUCAGAAAGUCACAGGUUGAGGAGGGAAGUGGAGGUCUGGAGGUGCACACAGAUGCAUAUGCGGGGAGGACAUGGAUCGGUGAAGGAUUCCUGGUGAUUCUAGACAGUAUCAGAGCUGAAUAGGAGUCAUGUUGGUAAAGAUUUGGACGGGCAGAGGGGCAGCCAGGGCAAAGGCAGUGAGGCAGAAAAUAGCCUAGUGGGUGAGUGGGGCUCUUGUGUAAGUGAGUAGUGUUAGGAAGUGGAGCUGGAUGAAGACUCAGACACCAGGCAGGUGGGGCUUGCAGAUCCUGUCCAAAUGUCCCUUUAUAGGCUUUGUGGUCAAAAUGCUCUGAAAAGGGAGCAUUGCAAAGACCAAUGGUGUCACUAAUACAUGUAUUUAUUACAGGUGCAUAAAUCUGUGCUCAUUUGGAGAUAAAGAAGAUAAAGAACUACCAAGGGGGAAGGAGGGCUAGGGGAGACACAGGACCAAUAUCCACCUUCUGCUGUGUUUUAGCUUGACCUGAAGUCACCACUAGCCACCAUUGUUCUCUCUCUUUCCUCCCUGACCAAGAAGUAAAACAAACUCCUUAGGACAUGGACUUGUUAAGAUCUAAAAUUGAAGAACAGCCAUAUAUUUAUUUAACAAAACAAAUAUAUACAUUAUUUAUGCAAGAUAAUAAGUCACCAAAGUAUAAAAGCUCAUAUUUUCAUUUAUUUAUCAAAACAAAGGUAUGCGUUCAUGUUUUACAGAUGAGAAAUAGGAGACCCAGGCCACAAGACCCAAAAAUGGUGGUGCUGGCACUCUAUCUGGGCUUUCUGAUCGCACUACAUGCUCUCCACUUUUCACCAGCAUGAUUUACUCUGAGCGCUUUGAGGAUUGACCUCCUGGCUGGGGAAGGCAAGCCCAGCAUCACUGGUACCCAGUUCAUGCAUUCACUCUGUGAUCCGGAGGGCCUAUAAAACAGGGGUUCUCACACAGGCUGCUGCAUUUACAGAAAGAGAUGUUGGAUCUCCGGUUUUAGUAUUUACUCUAAAACCCCCUGUUCUUCUCAAAUGAGCACUAAUUGGUCACCAGCACUGAAGAGGCAUGCAGUGCGCCAUGAGUUCUAGACAAUAAGAGAGACUUUCAAAUGCACUGCUGUACAGGCAUUAUGGCUGGGUACAGGCAGUUAGGCUGGCUGUGCAGUGCUUUGUUGGUAUCUGGGACGAUGUUGCAGGGAGGGCCAUCCAUGAGUGUCUGUGACUUGAUGUACCCUUAUUUAAAAUGGCAUUUUUCCCAGAUGCUUAGUCUCCAAACAGAAAACAGCCUGAAAUCUCAUUUUUUCAGUUUCUGCUACAAAAAUUGUUGCCAGUAUAUUUGAAAUUUAUGGAAAGAAUGUUUUUAAUCAACUAAGUGUACUGAAGUAUGUAAAGUUCCGGGAAGGAAUACAGCCCACCAGUGAGGCAGAGAGAAGUGGAAGUCUAGCAACAACAAAUGAAGGACCCCCAGGCUCAGCAACACUGGAAAGAAGUUACAUCCAGUAAGAGGACUGUGAUGGGGGCAGGACUGUAAAAAACAAAACAAAACUAAACUAAACUAAACUAAACUAAACAGCAAGCAAUCUGUGAGAAUGGAACAAAUGACAUGCAAAAUAGUCCAAAGAAUAACAUGUAAAUUAGCAUCAGAUUUCCAAAGAAUCUUAGAGUUGAGAGCCUAGAGAGACCAUCUCUCCAGAUAAUGCUACUGAACCCCCACGGAAGGGAAGCAACUUGCCCUAAUAGAAACAGCUAACUUCAAAGAGGGCUCACAGGGAGUGAGGCCCUGAUUUCAAUGCUCCAUGUGAAUUAACCCAUUUAAUUGUCCCAGAAAGGGCAUGAAGCGUGAGGCUUCCCCCAUAUUGGCAGAUGGGGCAACGGAUGCUUAGGGAGGUUAAGGUACUUGCCCAGCUCAUCUCAUUAGUAAGAGGCAAAGCGGGGACCAAACCGGGGCAGUCUAGCUCCCAGCCCAUCUUCACAAGCAUAUUGCUCCUGGAACCAUUGCAAACCAGCAGCAGAGCCAAGACUAAAGCCCUGGUGCCCCAGUUUCCUAUUCCUGUUCUUUCCACCAUUCUGCUCUCUCCUUGGGCCCAGAAGGUUCUCCUCUCAGAGCUAUGGCGCUUGCUGGUCCCAGCAUCCUUGUCUGGAAUGCUCUUCUCCUACAUCUCCACAGAGUCUGCUCCCUGGAUUCCUUUUCUGUCCACCCCAAAUAAAAUGGCAACACCUCCACUGUCCAUAGCACUGGAACGUCAGAUACCCCUUACUUCAUUCAUAGAUGAAACACCUCACCAUCUACUUGCUGUAUAUUUACUCAUUUUUAUUGUUGUAGCUCAGUGUUUCCUACCAAAUGCAAGCUCGUGAAGGUAGCAUCCAUGCUUUCUUCAAUAACACGUCCCUGGUGCCUGGCGCCUCGAAGCAGGCAAAAAACGUUUGAUGAAAAAGUAAAUGAAUAAAAUGAACAAAUGAACAAAUGGUAAGUAAUUCCCAGACCUGAAGCAAAGAACUCAGGUGCCCUGUGCCACAUGGCAAAUGUCACCCCUGGCUGCUUUACUCGCAUGCUACCCAGGAAACCUGACUCCUUCUACCGUGAGUUCCUGGUAAGAUUCAUUUCUUGAAUUGUAAUAUCAUGUCUCUAAGAGUCUUCUAUUAAACUGUAAGUACUUCUGGGGCACCUGAGUGGCUUAGGCAGUUAAGCAUCUGACUUCAGCUCAGGCCAUGAUCUCACAGUUCGUGAGUUCAAGUCCUGUGUCGGGCUCUGUGCUGACAGCUCAGAGCCUGGAGCCUGCUUUGGAUUCUGUGUCUCCCUCUCUCUCUGCCCCUCCCCUGCUCACUUCUGUCUGUGUCUCAAAAAUAUAUAAACAUUAAAAAACAUUUUUUUAAACUGUAGGUACUUCUGAAAGGGAGAACAUCACACAUGAAUUAAUUACUAGCCUUUAACAAUUUGGGAUAUACUAAAGUGAUACAUAAACAUCAUUUUAUAUAUAACAGAUCCAAACUAAAAUACAGCUCGCAUGGUUGGAGCAUUCGGAACAUGCCGGUCAUAGUGCAAGGUACUUUACACAUGGUACUAAUUGCCAAAUAUUUCCGGCUCUCUGCCUUCCUGGCACUCAUGGGAAUAGCACUUCCCAGGUCUUUAGUGGUGGGUAGCACCAUGUGACUGGUUCCAAACAGACAUAAAUGGGCCUGUUACCCAUUUACAGGGCUAAUGAGAGACCCCUCAGAACUCUCUUUUCCUUUUGGCUCAGCUGCCUUCAAUAUGGGACCUGCCUUAGCCUGAAUCCCUGAGUGAUGUGAUGAACACAGGACCUGCCCACCCCCACCCCCAUCCCCAGUGUCUGUACAGCGAUCUUCUGGGGUAAUCUGUGCUAUCAUUUCUUUACAGGUAAAGAAGGGGCUGUGUGUUAUUAAAGGAUUUUCACAAGAUUUCAUGGCUGGCAAGUGAUGGAGCCACGAAGGGAACCAGAUUCAUUGGUGAGGAAGCCAGCACACGUACAGAGAUGUCUCACAGUGCCCCGGCCCUGUGCUGAGGGCACCCUGAUGACUCCAACACUCAAGACCCUGUUUUCAAGAAUCUGCCAAUGCCCAGUCAAUCCCCCUCCCCUUCCAUUGUUCCUACAGGGAAUGGUCACUACUGCUGAAGAUAAUUGCUCAACUGUUUGCGCUGGGAGUUAGGGAGGGUCAAAUCUCCACUGCUCCAUGUACUCUUUGUAUUCUUUAUACAAACUACAUGGAAGUGAUAGAAAAUUCUGAAGGUCUGGAUCACCUAAGAACAAAACUGGAAUGCUUGGGAGGCAGGAGCCUCCUGUACAAAGUUUUUCACCCACUGCUAGCGUGGUACCUAAAUUUUCUACCAUUAGAAAUUUAUUCCUUUGGGUUUAAAGCAGAUUUCUCCUCUUGUCUAGAACUUGCCCAGACUAUUGUAUAAAAUCUUCUUUUGUCAUACAUCCAAAUGACUACCCUAACAACUUCUAACAGCUAUCUCAACAUUGAGAUCUUGUAGAAAUAGCCCAAGGAAGCCGGCAACAUAAGGAAUGGCUGUACUUCCAGUGCUAAAUACUUCAAUUUUGAGGGUGAAAAUGUUCCUUAAGGCCUUCUCCUUUUAAUUUUCUUUUUCCCAAAAGAACUCAAGUAGAGGGUUUGUUGGUAUUGUUUGUUUGCCACUGGUGUUGACGAGGGGCAGAAUGCCAUCUUCUUAUGAGGACUAAAUUGAUGAGAAUUCUCAUUGUGCUGUACAGAACCCAAAUUACCCACACCACUAUCCAUCACAAACUCUGUGGAUUCCCGAAGUUUGGACUGAAAUUGUGCUCUGAGAAGUGUCUUUCUUUCUGGGAGUCAGGGGAUGGUGGAGGGAUGGGGACACCUUUACGGAGAGGGACAGCCAUGGACUAACGGAAAUGAGAAGAUGUGGAAAAUGUUGUAGCCUGGGAAGAGAGGAUUCUAGGAGGGUCAGGGGAAAUACGGCAUCAAAACUCAAAGGCACAGGUCUUAGGGAUAAAUAUCCAGAAACUCACUUAAAAAAACAAGGAGGUAUUAUGAUGACCCCAAGCAGAAAGGAAAGGCAACACAAGAAUGUAUUUGUAGACUUAACCAUGACAUAAAAUUAUAUGAUUUGAGGCCCAAUUUGUUUAGAAUGUCCCUGCUUUUCUUGAUCUCUUUAGUUUAUUAUCCAAGACCACCUCGUGAAAUACUUUGAACCCAGAUUCAAGUUGAACAUAAAACACAACUGAGUGUGGAAAAGAAUAACUGAACAAAUGUCUAACCAGAGUGAUAUGUGAAGGUUCAGCUCACCUGGAAGCCUGCAGGACUUGGGGCGGCUGCAGGACCUGGGGGUCUGGGGCCGGAGAUGAAAGAGAACUGGCCCUGAGUGGCCUGUGUGUGCCCAGCACUCUGCAGGGGAGCAGUUGUGUCCCAGAGGAAUAGCAGCUUCCUGCUCUGUGUGUGUUUAUCAUGUGACACCAAAAAUAGCAGAGGUUUGUUUUCUGUAGGUUUGCCAGAGACCCAAAGCUGAUAGGGACUGAUGGUUCACCAGAUUGCAUGUGACGUUUUACCAUAAAGAGAGGAAGAACGGGGGUCACACAGACCCGGGCUUUGCCAUUUAUUUACUCCUCCAUGACUGGAGGCCAGCCACCAAGGUUGACAGAACCUCAGUUACCUACAAAUAAGAUGAGUACAGUUAGACCGCUCACACACACUUUCUAUAGGCACAUAAAUGAAUGAUAUGAAUGAAGUGUCCAGCUCACAGUGGACACUCACAAAAUCCCUUUCCUUUCCUGGAGGGAGAACUGAAAUUCACAAAGACACUGAAUCAUAUGCUGAUUACUGCACCCACUCAGACUACUGUCCCCUUACUAGCUAAUCUCCUUCUGGUCUCUCUGACUCUGGUCUUGGGUCAAUCAGUCACUCAGAGCCAGAGUGCUUUUACUAAAUCUUAAAUCUCAUUUCAAAACCCUUUUGAAACCCUUCAAUGGCUUCCUGUUCCCAUAUCCUCACAGGGCUUUUGGAGGCUUCUCGUGAAUUUGUCCUACUUACUCUCCACCCUCACUGUUCACUGCCGUGAACCCCCUCACUCAGCCUCCCCCAGGCCAUGAGCACUCCAGCCCUUCUUUCCCUGCAGUGCAUACAGGACCUGCAUUUCUCCAAAAGCUCAGCUUUUGCACAGUUUAUCCCCUCUGCUAGAUGAUUCCCCACAUCUAUCUCCUUACAGGCCCUUUUUUUAUUUGGAUAACUUCUACCCACCUGUCGGGGCUCAGCUUAGAUGUUACUUUCGGCUUUCUCCAUUCCUCUUAUGCUCUCUUCAUUGCACUGUGUGCAUACAUCCAGGAUGCUUAUGCCAGGUCACAUCUGCACCCAUCAAGUAAGGAGGCCUCUUCUCCCUACCACCUUUCUCCCUGAAGGAGCCAGGAAGAGCAGGAAGGGUGAGUAGGCUGCGGUGGGGGGGCAGGGGGCAAGACAAAGAGGAGAAGCAGAUCUCUGUAGGCUUCACAGCCCCAAGCAGGCCUUGACAUGGUAAGGGAGAGUUUGGUAAAAGAUUACACUGGACUUUUUAACAUCAGAAAAUGACCAGAACAUUCUAUGGGAUCUUCAGAAAUGAAGAAGGAAUCAAACAAUUUAACACAUGGGGCACCUGGGUGGCUCAGUCGGUUAAGUGUCUGACAUGUCUGACUCCUGGUUUCGGCUCAGGUCGUGAUCUCACGGUUUCGUGGGUUUGAGCCCCAUGUCGGGCUCUGUGCUGAUUGUGUAGACCAUACUUGGGAUUCUCUGUCUCCCUCUCUCUCUGCCCCUUCCCCAACUUGUGCUGUCUCUGUCUCUCCCAAAAUAAAUAAAUAAACAUUUUAAAAAAAGAAUUUAACACACAGUGGAGGAAAAAUGAAGUUCUUUCUUGUUUGUAUCCUACCAAGUGCAGCCCUUCAGAAAUACUUCUGUAAAGUGUGGUUACCUGAGCAGCUACAGAGGUCUGCACCUAGAAGGGCCUGGGCUUGCCUUAAUGCUCUGCUGCUACCAUCUUGAAAUUCUUAAUAAUUGGUAAAAAGGGGCCCCAUGUUUUCAUCUGGCACAGGCCCCACCAAUCAUGCACCUAGGCCUGGUUACUACAUAGCAAGGAUUUAGCCAUAUUCUAUGCUACCCCAAGGGGCACAAUGGGACCAAUCAGUGAGAGGUGGAGAGAUACAGAUUUAACUCAAUAUUGGGAAGAGUUUUGUUUGAACUCAUGGCUGCCCAAACUGGAAUAGGCGGUGCAUUGGUAGAGCAUCCGGUCACCAGAAUCCUUACAACGGAAGGUCAGCUACUUGGCAGGAACAUUGGAGACACAGUGCAAGCUCUGGACUCUGUGGCCUACACAAUCCCUGCCAACACUGGGAUUAUGUAAUUCUUUGAUAAAUAUCCUUCAAGAUGUCUGCUUUACCAGCUUCACUGAGAAAUGAAUUUACCAGUGCUGAGACCAGGUAAGUGAAUCUUCAAGUCCAGCCUCUAACCCCUACAUAGUUGGGAGUUUCACUGACUCCCCAGGUUUCUGUCCAAAUUGUGAGUUGUUGUUUUCCUUUAUGAGGACAUUAUUGCCAUUACUCACUGUAUUUCUGAUCAUUGUAAGUUGGAUCUUACUAUGGCUGGCACACUAUGACUUCUUAUUUCUAAGAAAAAGGCCUAAAAAGCCUCAGAAAGUGUUUUAGGCUUAAAGCCACUUUCAUUAAUCAUCAUUUUGACAAUGAAGCAUAAACAGACAUGACAAAUAUUGAUUAAGUUUAACAUUAAAAAUCUACAGGCAUGUUUUGGUUAUUGUUGUCAUCGUCAUUAUUAUUUAUUCACUCCUUCAUCGUUCACUCCUAAUUUGUUUCAGAAGAAGAAAAUGAAGUCCAUUUCUUCCUGAGACCUCCCAAUUAUAACUUCUCAAGCUAGAAAGUGCAUCUUCUCUGCUCCACCUUUAUAGAGCUAGUCUCGGAAGACACAACUUAAGGGUCGAAGCUCCACUACAAAGACUCACCAUUGAUGACAAUUUGGGGCCAGGAACUGACAGGAAAUGGGUACAUUUGGUCAUGCUUAGUAAACCCAUUUCCUCACAAAUUCAUUUCUCCCUCAUAUUGGAAAACUUUGAGCUUCUUUCAUACCAUAUUUUGGCCUUGACCUUUCUAGCACUUAGCCUCCCUACAAUGAAGUCUAUGUAUCUCAUACCCUCAGUGCAGGCCCCCUAAUUAUAGCCAUUCGUUAAACUGUCAGGAAGAAAUCCUCAGUUCAAUCACGUCUUUAUCAGACUCUGGCUGCCAAUGGGGUCAAGUUAGGCGUCAAGUCUGACCUGCUCAGAGCCCCUGUGAUGUUCUGGUCUGCAUGCUCACUGGGGCCUUUGUGAGGAGGCAGGCCAGACAGCCACCUGGUUGCCCCCAGCUAAGUUCCCUGUCCAACUGCAUUGCCCAGACAGGGUGGAGCCAAGAGAAACAAUGGGGCUGACUUAUGUAGCACCUUCCUUUUGGCUCUGUCUUUGGGGAAUUUUGUGCACAGGAGUUAUACAGGGUUAUCAAAGUCCUAACUUGUAAAUGAAGACUUUACUGAAUAGGGAGGGAUCUGGUGUCAGGGGAAAAUAAAUUCUUCAGUUUGGAUCUGCUCUCAGAGAUUGUAGAAUCAUGGAAUUUUAUCACUGCCAAGGAACUCAGUGACCAUCUGUCUAACCCUUUAUUUUACAGAUCAGUAUAAAUGUGGCCAAGGGACUUGGGUUUUACUUUUACUGCUGAGUAUGGUUUUCUUGAAUUUCAGGGUGUGCCUCACGGAAGUCUUAGUUUUGGAGAAGAGCUGGAGCCAAUGUGUACCUCACACCACCUCUCGGCCCCAGUACAGACGUUGGAAACUUUUCUUUCUACACCAUUUCCAAUCCUGCAGUGCAGGCCCCUGCUCUCUAAGAAUUCACACACUUAGCCCUUAAAAAUGGGCAUCUGUAGGGGCACCUGGAUGGCUCAGUCAGUUAAGCAUCUGACUUUGGCUCAAGUCAUGCAUGAUCUCAUGGUUCAUGGGUUCAACCCCCUGCUGGGCUCUGUGCUGACAGCUCAGAGCCUGGGUCCUGCUUCGGAUUCUGUGUCUCCCCCUCUC
Molecule: long non-coding RNA, 14329 nt
Organism: Acinonyx jubatus (cheetah)
Lineage: Eukaryota; Metazoa; Chordata; Mammalia; Carnivora; Felidae
Exons: 3
Source: RefSeq, a predicted model, not a curated record